AUUCUAAGACUUCUAGAGAAAAAUAAUGAGGGGUGUCACGGGGUAUGACUAUAUAGGUCUUGUAGAAAAGAAACAGGCGUUUCUUUUGCACUAGGUAUCGAAGGGCGCUAUGUUCAAAAAUCUGAAACUAGAGCUCAAAAUUCGAAAAAAAUGUCCAAAAAAUGGGGGUAGGGUCGGCCUAUUCCAGGAGUUCUAGAGAAAAAUAAUGAGGGGUGUCACGGGAUAUGACUAUAUAGGUCUUGUAGAACAGAAACAGGCGCUUCUUUUGCGCUAGGUAUCGAAGGGCGCUAUGUUCAAAAAUCUGAAACUAGAGCUCAAAAUUUGAAAAAAAUGUCAAAAAAUUAGGGGGGUCGGCCUAUUCCAGGGCUUCUAGAGAAAAAUAAUGAGGGGUGUCACGGAGAAUGACUAUAUAGGUCUUGUAGAAGAGAAACAGGCGCUUCUUUUGCGCUAGGUAUCGAAGGGCGCUAUGUUCAAAAAUCUGAAACUAGAGCUCAAAAUUUGAAAAAAAUGUCAAAAAAUUAGGGGGGUCGGCCUAUUCUAGGACUUCUAGAGAAAAAUAAUGAGGGGUGUCACGGGAAUGACUAUAUAGGUCUUGUAGAGGAGAAACAGGUGCUUCUUUUGCGCUAGGUAUCGAAGGGCGCUAUGUUCAAAAAUCUGAAACUAGAGCUCAAAAUUUGAAAAAAAUGUCAAAAAAUUAGGGGGGUCGGCCUAUUCCAGGACUUCUAGAGAAAAAUAAUGAGGGGUGUCACGGGGAACGACUAUAUAGGUCUUGUAGAGGAUAAACAGGCCCUUCUUUUGCGCUAGGUAUCGACGGGCGCUAUUUUCAAAAAUCUGAAACUAGAGCUCAAAAUUUGGAAAAAAAUGUCAAAAAAUUAGGGGGUCGGCCUAUUCUAGGAUUUCUAGAGAAAAAUAAUGAGGGGUGUCACGGGGUAUGACUAUAUAGGUCUUGUAGAGGAGAAACAGGCGCUUCUUUUGCACUAGGUAUCGAAGGGCGCUAUGUUCAAAAAUCUGAAACUAGAGCUCAAAAUUUGAAAAAAAAUGUCAAAAAAAUAGGGGGGUCGGCCUAUUCCAGGACUUCUAGAGAAAAAUAAUGAGGGGUGUCACGGGCAAUGACUAUAUAGGUCUUGUAGAGGAGAAACAGGCGCUUCUUUUGCGCUAGGUAUCGAAGGGCGCUAUGUUCAAAAAUCUGAAACUAGAGCUCAAAAUUUGAAAAAAAAAUGUCAAAAAUUAGGGGGGUCGGCCUAUUCUAGGACUUCUAGAGAAAAAUAAUGAGGAGUG
This 1278-nucleotide long non-coding RNA is filed under the name Mytilus galloprovincialis (Mediterranean mussel). Lineage: Eukaryota; Metazoa; Mollusca; Bivalvia; Mytilida; Mytilidae. The record is from RNAcentral.